RNAcentral lists this ribosomal RNA (429 nucleotides) under Acidobacteriota bacterium. RNAcentral's name for it is "Acidobacteria bacterium partial 16S ribosomal RNA". It matches the Rfam family "Bacterial small subunit ribosomal RNA", at positions 355 to 776 of the family's 1533-position model. Lineage: Bacteria; Pseudomonadati; Acidobacteriota. The record is from RNAcentral.
UGGGGAAUUUUGGACAAUGGGGGAAACCCUGAUCCAGCCAUCCCGCGUGUGCGAUGAAGGCCUUCGGGUUGUAAAGCACUUUUGGCAGGAAAGAAACGUCAUGGGUUAAUACCCCGUGAAACUGACGGUACCUGCAGAAUAAGCACCGGCUAACUACGUGCCAGCAGCCGCGGUAAUACGUAGGGUGCAAGCGUUAAUCGGAAUUACUGGGCGUAAAGCGUGCGCAGGCGGUUCGGAAAGAAAGAUGUGAAAUCCCAGAGCUCAACUUUGGAACUGCAUUUUUAACUACCGGGCUAGAGUGUGUCAGAGGGAGGUGGAAUUCCGCGUGUAGCAGUGAAAUGCGUAGAUAUGCGGAGGAACACCGAUGGCGAAGGCAGCCGCCUGGGAUAACACUGACGCUCAUGAACGAAGGCGUGGGGAGCAAACAGG